AUACGGAGGGUCCGAGCGUUAUCCGGAAUCAUUGGGUUUAAAGGGUCCGUAGGCGGGAAUCUAAGUCAGUGGUGAAAUCUUGCAGCUCAACUGUAAAAUUGCCAUUGAUACUGGAUUUCUUGAAUUAGUGUGAAGUGGUUAGAAUGUGUAGUGUAGCGGUGAAAUGCAUAGAUAUUACACAGAAUACCAAUUGCGAAGGCAGAUCACUAACACUAUAUUGACGCUAAGGGACGAAAGCGUGGGGAGCGAACAGGAUUAGAAACCCCAGUAGUCC
This 274-nucleotide ribosomal RNA is filed under the name uncultured bacterium. RNAcentral's name for it is "partial 16S ribosomal RNA". It matches the Rfam family "Bacterial small subunit ribosomal RNA", at positions 523 to 796 of the family's 1533-position model. The record is from RNAcentral.